This 253-nucleotide ribosomal RNA is filed under the name uncultured bacterium. RNAcentral describes it as "partial 16S ribosomal RNA". It matches the Rfam family "Bacterial small subunit ribosomal RNA", at positions 524 to 776 of the family's 1533-position model. The record is from RNAcentral.
UACGAAGGGUGCAAGCGUUACUCGGAAUCACUGGGCGUAAAGCGCACGUAGGCGGCUUGUUAAGUCAGGGGUGAAAUCCUGGAGCUCAACUCCAGAACUGCCUUUGAUACUGAGAAGCUUGAGUCCGGGAGAGGUGAGUGGAACUGCGAGUGUAGAGGUGAAAUUCGUAGAUAUUCGGAAGAACACCAGUGGCGAAGGCGACUCACUGGACAUGUAUUGACGCUGAGGUGCGAAAGCGUGGGGAGCAAACAGG